UACGUAUGGGGCAAGCGUUAUCCGGAUUUACUGGGUGUAGAGGGAGCGUAGACGGCGAGGUAAGCCUGAAGUGGAAGCCCGCGGCCCAACCGCGGAACUGCUUUGGGAACUGUUUUGCUGGAGUAUGGGAGGGGUAAGCGGAAUUCCUGGUGUAGCGGUGAAAUGCGUAGAUAUCAGGAGGAACACCGGUGGCGAAGGCGGCUUACUGGACCAUAACUGACGUUGAGGCUCGAAAGCGUGGGGAGCGAACAGG
Molecule: ribosomal RNA, 253 nt
Filed under: uncultured bacterium
Lineage: Bacteria
Description: partial 16S ribosomal RNA
Rfam family: Bacterial small subunit ribosomal RNA
Source: RNAcentral